This 836-nucleotide ribosomal RNA is filed under the name Streptomyces sp. IM-6862. RNAcentral describes it as "bacterial SSU rRNA". It matches the Rfam family "Bacterial small subunit ribosomal RNA", at positions 38 to 889 of the family's 1533-position model. The record is from RNAcentral. Lineage: Bacteria; Bacillati; Actinomycetota; Actinomycetes; Kitasatosporales; Streptomycetaceae.
GGCGGCGUGCUUAACACAUGCAAGUCGAACGAUGAAGCCCUUCGGGGUGGAUUAGUGGCGAACGGGUGAGUAACACGUGGGCAAUCUGCCCUUCACUCUGGGACAAGCCCUGGAAACGGGGUCUAAUACCGGAUAUGACCGUCUUGGGCAUCCUUGACGGUGUAAAGCUCCGGCGGUGAAGGAUGAGCCCGCGGCCUAUCAGCUUGUUGGUGAGGUAAUGGCUCACCAAGGCGACGACGGGUAGCCGGCCUGAGAGGGCGACCGGCCACACUGGGACUGAGACACGGUCCAGACUCCUACGGGAGGCAGCAGUGGGGAAUAUUGCACAAUGGGCGAAAGCCUGAUGCAGCGACGCCGCAUGAGGGAUGACGGCCUUCGGGUUGUUAACCUCUUUCAGCAGGGAAGAAGCGCAAGUGACGGUACCUGCAGAAGAAGCGCCGGCUAACUACGUGCCAGCAGCCGCGGUAAUACGUAGGGCGCAAGCGUUGUCCGGAAUUAUUGGGCGUAAAGAGCUCGUAGGCGGCUUGUCACGUCGGGUGUGAAAGCCCGGGGCUUAACCCCGGGUCUGCAUUCGAUACGGGCUAGCUAGAGUGUGGUAGGGGAGAUCGGAAUUCCUGGUGUAGCGGUGAAAUGCGCAGAUAUCAGGAGGAACACCGGUGGCGAAGGCGGAUCUCUGGGCCAUUACUGACGCUGAGGAGCGAAAGCGUGGGGAGCGAACAGGAUUAGAUACCCUGGUAGUCCACGCCGUAAACGGUGGGAACUAGGUGUUGGCGACAUUCCACGUCGUCGGUGCCGCAGCUAACGCAUUAAGUUCCCCGCCUGGGGAGUACGGCCGC